This 79-nucleotide small RNA is filed under the name Klebsiella aerogenes. Its description in RNAcentral is "partial RtT sRNA". It matches the Rfam family "RtT RNA", at positions 54 to 130 of the family's 130-position model. From Rfam's summary of the family: This family represents a bacterial cis-regulatory element known as RtT RNA. The exact function of RtT is unknown although it is thought that it may be involved in changing the cellular response in relation to amino acid starvation. Lineage: Bacteria; Pseudomonadati; Pseudomonadota; Gammaproteobacteria; Enterobacterales; Enterobacteriaceae. The record is from RNAcentral.
UCAGCGAGAGAACGUUGCCGCAGGCAACGGCCCGAAGGGCGAGGCGCUUUAGCGCCGAGUAAUCCUUCCCCCACCACCA